UACGUAGCCGAAAAGGGGGCCUCAUCUCCUCGAGCCUCCAGCGGUCGUCGCGUUCGGACCUUCGCUUUCCGUCCACACUUCGGUGGGGAUAACCGGCGAGGGCCGUCGCGACGGCGGACUCGGAGGAUAGGGGGGUGGAUUUCCCUCCUCAGUAGGCAGUCGCGGCCGCUCGAGAGUUGUCUAAGACCCGGGAGUCGGGAACCGUCCGGCGAAGUAAUAUUCGCCGGCGGGGACGCUCCCUCGAUUCUGGCGGACUCUCGGACGGUUGAUAAAAAAUGACGACGUAGAGGAGAGCAAAUCCCUCGUCGUACGCGGCUGUAAUGCGAUCGUUCAUCCGUCCCGUCUUGAAACACGGACCAAGGAGUCUAACAUGUACGCGAGUCAAAGGGUUGGCUAAACCCCAAGGCGCAACGAAAGUAAAAAAGGGAUGUCCUAUUCCAGGGACGCUCGUUGGGUCGAUCCGGGCUCCUAUUAGUAAUAGUAGGACCGGCGCAGACCCGGGGCUCGCCGCUACCUCUUCGAGACACGUCUCGAGGCGGGCGGCGGGCACCUAGAGCGUACAUGCUAGUACCCGAAAGAUGGUGAUCUAUGCUUGGCCAGGAUGAAGCCAGAGGAAACUCUGGUGGAGGUCCGUAGCGAUUCUGACGUGCAAAU
RNAcentral lists this ribosomal RNA (654 nucleotides) under Proasellus deminutus. Its description in RNAcentral is "eukaryotic LSU rRNA". It matches the Rfam family "Eukaryotic large subunit ribosomal RNA", at positions 598 to 898 of the family's 3401-position model. The record is from RNAcentral. Lineage: Eukaryota; Metazoa; Arthropoda; Malacostraca; Isopoda; Asellidae.